GAAAGGACGCUCAGCCUGACCUUCCCGGGGCUGUCCGUGCCAGCGGCUCCGCGUGAGGGAGGGGCCCGCUCCUGCUUGGUGAGAGAGUCAGCACGCGGUGGCCUGCAGGUUAUAGAGUGGAAAGUCCCACAAUCUUUUUCUUCUCUAUUUUCAAAAAACGUUGACCUCUUGGCGAGAAUGCAAAGAAGGGAACGCUUGCUUAUACGCUGUUGUGAACUGUCACCCCUACAACUCAGCUUGCAACCAGCCCUGGCCACCAGUUUCCCCACACUGAGCUGAAUAUCGGACAUGCCCAUCUCAGACAUUCCAGCCCAUUCUGAAAUUCCACAUCGAUUCACCUGACAAAGUCUGAAGUUCCAGGGCAAUUUAUCUGGAAAAGCUUACCUGGAAUCACGUGUCAUUUCAACCAACAACUGUUGAAGAGGACGUGGCAUUAAAACCAAGGGUAUCAAUUAUUUAUAAGGGCUG
This 468-nucleotide long non-coding RNA is filed under the name Homo sapiens (human). RNAcentral's name for it is "non-protein coding FAM239A:28". The record is from RNAcentral. Lineage: Eukaryota; Metazoa; Chordata; Mammalia; Primates; Hominidae.